Molecule: ribosomal RNA, 1528 nt
Filed under: uncultured Lentimicrobiaceae bacterium
Lineage: Bacteria; Pseudomonadati; Bacteroidota; Bacteroidia; Bacteroidales; Lentimicrobiaceae
Description: bacterial SSU rRNA
Rfam family: Bacterial small subunit ribosomal RNA
Source: RNAcentral
AGAGUUUGAUCCUGGCUCAGGAUGAACGCUAGCGGCAGGCCUAAUACAUGCAAGUCGUACGGCAACACAGUUGCGAGCAAUCGCAACCGGUGGCGAGUGGCGCACGGGUGAGUAACGCGUAUGUAACCUACCCUUCUCCGGGACAUAACUCCGCGAAAGCGGUGCUAAUAUCCCAUACCAACUCAUCAAGACAUCUUCUUGAGUUGAAAGCAGCAAUGCGGUGAAGGAUGGGCAUGCGUCCCAUUAGCUGGUUGGUGAGGUAAUGGCCCACCAAGGCUACGAUGGGUAGGGGUUCUGAGAGGAAAGCCCCCCACACUGGUACUGAGACACGGACCAGACUCCUACGGGAGGCAGCAGUAAGGAAUAUUGGGCAAUGGUCGAAAGACUGACCCAGCCAUGCCGCGUGCAGGAUGAAGGCCCUAUGGGUUGUAAACUGCUUUUAGCCGGGAAUAAACACCCGUUUUAUAACGGGCCCGAAGGUACCGGCUGAAUAAGCAUCGGCUAACUCCGUGCCAGCAGCCGCGGUAAUACGGAGGAUGCAAGCGUUAUCCGGAUUCACUGGGUUUAAAGGGUGCGCAGGCGGACAUUUAAGUCAGGGGUGAAAUCCUACAGCUUAACUGUAGAACUGCCCUUGAUACUGAAUGCCUAGAGUAAAGCUGAAGUGGGCGGAAUGUGUUGUGUAGCGGUGAAAUGCUUAGAUAUAACACAGAACACCAAUCGCGAAGGCAGCUCACUAAACUUUAACUGACGCUCAUGCACGAAAGCGUGGGGAGCAAACAGGAUUAGAUACCCUGGUAGUCCACGCCCUAAACGAUGAUCACUCGCUGUUGGCGAUAUAUUGUCAGUGGCUAAGCAAAAGUGAUAAGUGAUCCACCUGGGGAGUACGACCGCAAGGUUGAAACUCAAAGGAAUUGACGGGGGCCCGCACAAGCGGAGGAGCAUGUGGUUUAAUUCGAUGAUACGCGAGGAACCUUACCAGGGCUCGAACGCAGGAGGAAUACUCCCGAAAGGAAGUAGCCAGAAAUGGCCGCCUGCGAGGUGCUGCAUGGUUGUCGUCAGCUCGUGCCGUGAGGUGUCAGGUUAAGUCCUAUAACGAGCGCAACCCCUAUUCAUAGUUGCCAGCAUAUUACGGUGGGGACUCUAUGAAAACUGCCUGCGCAAGCAGUGAGGAAGGUGGGGAUGACGUCAAAUCAGCACGGCCCUUAUGUCCUGGGCUACACACGUGCUACAAUGGCCGGUACAGAAGGCCGCAACCACGCAAGUGGAAGCUAAUCCCUAAAACCGGUCUCAGUUCGGAUUGGAGUCUGCAACCCGACUCCAUGAAGCCGGAUUCGCUAGUAAUCGCACAUCAGCCAUGGCGCGGUGAAUACGUUCCCGGGCCUUGUACACACCGCCCGUCAAGCCAUGGAAGCUGGGGGUGCCUGAAGUCCGUAACCCCGACUACUCGAGGAGCGGCCUAAGGUAAACUCAGUGACUGGGGCUAAGUCGUAACAAGGUAGCCGUACCGGAAGGUGCGGCUGGAAUACCU